Long non-coding RNA from Aedes aegypti (yellow fever mosquito), 1655 nucleotides. RefSeq lists it as uncharacterized. The record is from RefSeq and is a predicted model, not a curated record. Lineage: Eukaryota; Metazoa; Arthropoda; Insecta; Diptera; Culicidae. The transcript is spliced from 3 exons.
UAGCCCCCGGAAUCAAAAGUAGCCCCGUUUGACGGUACUGCCUUUGAAGUUUUAGUACAAUUUUGGAAGUUGAAUUCAAAACUGCUUCACCUUAUGAGUACAAAACACGAAGGUAUUCCGUUUAAUGGGAGCCGAUAGACAUACGAUCAGUUGUCAAACGUUCUAGCAGACGAAGGUCUGGUCGAACUUUAAAGUAAAAGAUAAGAUCAGUGAUUGCUGAGAGCGCAACUAAAACAAUCCUACUUUAUUUAACCAAAGCACAGUACAUUCAGUGCUGUUUCUCCCUCCGAUUGUGUACAAUCUCGAUUAGUGACCUCGGCUACCGAAAACGACGGAAAGUGAAGCGAUUGGGUGAUCGACGAAGCAGCCAUUCAUUCAGCAACGGAUCGGUUUUUGUUUUUCACCGAACACGGUUUAGCGAGCACCAUCCCGGCGGCGGUUUUCCUUGAGCGUUAUUGUGGGCCGUUAUAGUACGUUAGACGCAGGGAAGGGAUAGACGCCAUCGCGUUGGAAGAAAAAGUUGCCGUAAUCUAUUGUGAACGGCAUCCGCAGGCAAAUUGCAACUGUCUGUUAAUCUCAAUUGGUAAGAUAGUGGACGGAAGUUUAAUUGACCUACUGGAGUAUCCGUCACUGCGCGUUGGAAUACUGGUGCUUGUGUUCCAUGACCUUUUCAGCAUAAUCAGGGUGGUUCAAAUUCGAUCGUCUGCUAGUUUUGGUCUAGCUUGUUGGCCGUUCCAGAUCCAAUUUUGUUGGUCUGUCCCAAAUCAGAUCAGCAAAGGCUGAAGGACCUUCCGGUCCCGAGUUGUAUAGCAUUUAUACAAACAAAGUGGCGUUAAAAGUUUUGAUGACUUAUAUUUCUGAUAAUAACGGCAAAUGAAGCACCGUGACCCAGCAGAAGAGCAACUCCGGAGGGAUUCGGGGCGAAUUGAGGAUUGAAACGAGCGACGAGAUCGAAAUUCCCUCCUGACGCGCGCUCUAGUUAUGGCUUGUCGAAGGAUACGGGAAAUCCGAAAUAGGAUCCAACCUCUGCUGAGGGAGGUUGCUAAAUAUGCUGCUGCUGCCGAGGGGCGAGCGGGACGGGGUUCAAUUAAAUAUACAUAUAGCGACAAUCAAAUCGAUACAAACAAUAUGCUGCAAUUUAUCCAGGAGAACACAACGCUCCGACAAUAGGCGGAGUAGGUGAUGUAUCAUCAUCAUCGCCAUCAUCGCCGCCCCUCUCUACACGUCUCCCUCGCACCGUAUCAAUGCAUCUCACCCCAUCCCAUCCCACAUCCAGCAGCCAAGAACUUUGUGAUAUUAAUAAUUGAAUAAAAUUUGCAUUCAAACGAUAAAUGGUUUGUUAAACGAUUCCGCUCUUAUUUUCUGCCUCUGUGCUUUGAUUGCCGGUCGGGUCUAUCAAAUUCGCAGAAGUACCCUCAGUGAGAGAGCUCCGAUUCCCGGAAUUCCACUGCUCGGCACAUUCGGACGUAAUUGGCUGACUGUAUAGCUCUGUGGGACGAGUCCGGAGUCGGGGAAUGGGAGGCUGUCGGUUCGGUUCUGUCGGUCGGUCGGGCAAUUGUGUGAUAUCCUUUUGUGUCGAUUGCUGGCUGGCUGCUGCAGAGGCGUGUAUGAAAGCCGAGUCGAGCUCUUCCAUAGAGAGAGAGAACGAGCUUUGC